CGGGGCGUAGCGCAGCCUGGUUAGCGUGCCUGCCUUGGGAGCAGGAGGUCGUAGGUUCGAAUCCUACCGCCCCGACCA
This 78-nucleotide transfer RNA is filed under the name Candidatus Electrothrix marina. RNAcentral's name for it is "tRNA-Pro". It matches the Rfam family "tRNA". From Rfam's summary of the family: Transfer RNA (tRNA) molecules are approximately 80 nucleotides in length. Their secondary structure includes four short double-helical elements and three loops (D, anti-codon, and T loops). The record is from RNAcentral. Lineage: Bacteria; Pseudomonadati; Thermodesulfobacteriota; Desulfobulbia; Desulfobulbales; Desulfobulbaceae. RNAcentral also lists the same sequence under 22 other names.